Molecule: ribosomal RNA, 252 nt
Filed under: uncultured bacterium
Lineage: Bacteria
Description: partial 16S ribosomal RNA
Rfam family: Bacterial small subunit ribosomal RNA
Source: RNAcentral
UACAGGGGUGCAAACGUUGCUCGGAAUUAUUGGGCGUAAAGCGCGCGUAGGCGGCUACUUAAGUCGGAUGUGAAAUCCCUCGGCUUAACCGAGGAACUGCCUUCCAGACUGUCUGGCUUGAGACCGGGAGAGGUGAGUGGAAUUCCCAGUGUAGCGGUGAAAUGCGUAGAUAUUGGGAGGAACACCAGUGGCGAAGGCGGCUCACUGGACCGGUACUGACGCUGAGGCGCGAAAGCGUGGGGAGCAAACAGG